Monomorium pharaonis (pharaoh ant) is the source of this 158-nucleotide long non-coding RNA. RefSeq lists it as uncharacterized. NCBI's taxonomy places the organism in Eukaryota, Metazoa, Arthropoda, Insecta, Hymenoptera, Formicidae. The transcript is spliced from 2 exons. The record is from RefSeq and is a predicted model, not a curated record.
CUCAAGAGCCAUCCUCGUUGGUCAUCAUGGCGCGCGAGAGGUACGAUUCUUUCGCGGUGAAACCAAUUGGUUAUUCCACUAGCGGAGAAGGCGCAGAUUGGCGGACACUUUGAAUGGAAAAGCGUGCUUUGAAUAAUCAAAAACGUCGUUCCGCAUUU